This 504-nucleotide ribosomal RNA is filed under the name uncultured bacterium. RNAcentral's name for it is "partial 16S ribosomal RNA". It matches the Rfam family "Bacterial small subunit ribosomal RNA", at positions 29 to 523 of the family's 1533-position model. The record is from RNAcentral.
AUUGAACGCUGGCGGCAGGCCUACACAUGCAAGUCGAACGGCAGCACAGAAGAGCUUGCUCUUUGGGUGGCGAGUGGCGGACGGGUGAGUAAUGUCUGGGAAACUGCCCGAUGGAGGGGGAUAACUACUGGAAACGGUAGCUAAUACCGCAUAACGUCGCAAGACCAAAGUGGGGGACCUUCGGGCCUCACACCAUCGGAUGUGCCCAGAUGGGAUUAGCUAGUAGGGGGGGUAAUGGCUCACCUAGGCGACGAUCCCUAGCUGGUCUGAGAGGAUGACCAGCCACACUGGAACUGAGACACGGUCCAGACUCCUACGGGAGGCAGCAGUGGGGAAUAUUGCACAAUGGGCGCAAGCCUGAUGCAGCCAUGCCGCGUGUAUGAAGAAGGCCUUCGGGUUGUAAAGUACUUUCAGCGGGAGGAGGGCGGUGAGGUUAAUAACCUCGCCGAUUGACGUUACCCGCAGAAGAAGCACCGGCUAACUCCGUGCCAGCCGCCGCCGUAA